AUGGACCAUGCCCCCGACGCAGCAAAGCCAUCUCACAGCACUGCCUACUGCUCACCUCAUCGACAUCAUUCAUACCCACGAACCACGAUGGAUAAGCACACGGCCCCCAUCCGCGCGGUCACGCUUCUCCUCCUCAUCAUAUGCCUCCUCGCUACCCAGGCGCGAUGCCAGACCAUGGACGACGGCGACGAGAAGAUCAGCUUGCCCUACGGGCUGUGCGUCUACGAUAAGAGGUCGUUUGCCUGCAAGGGCGAGCGCUGCUACUGUUGUCGCGUGGCCGUGGAAGUUUGCUAUUUGUCCAUGGACGAGUGCAUGACGGAGUGCGUCAAGAAAAUGGGGCCGCCGGCGGCUGUGGCAACGCCUCUCCGAUAG
Molecule: ribosomal RNA, 372 nt
Filed under: Triticum aestivum (bread wheat)
Lineage: Eukaryota; Viridiplantae; Streptophyta; Magnoliopsida; Poales; Poaceae
Description: partial small subunit ribosomal RNA
Source: RNAcentral